GCGAGAAGACUUUGCAAUGUGCGAAAGCACGACAAGGUUAAUCCGAGUGGUUUCUGCUAAAGGAACCUUUUGUCAGUCCUAGAAACACUGAUGAAUAAGGGGUGGGCAAGUUCUGGUGUCAGCCGCCGCGGUAAAACCAGCACCUCAAGUGGUCAGGAUGAUUAUUGGGCCUAAAGCAUCCGUAGCCGGCUCUGUAAGUUUUCGGUUAAAUCUGUACGCUCAACGUACAGGCUGCCGGGAAUACUGCAAAGCUAGGGAGUGGGAGAGGUAGACGGUACUCGGUAGGAAGGGGUAAAAUCCUUUGAUCUAUUGAUGACCACCUGUGGCGAAGGCGGUCUACCAGAACACGUCCGACGGUGAGGGAUGAAAGCUGGGGGAGCAAACCGGAUUAGAUACCCGGGUAGUCCCAGCUGUAAACCAUGCAAACUCAGUGAUGCAUUGGCUUGUGGCCAAUGCAGUGCUGCAGGGAAGCCGUUAAGUUUGCCGCCUGGGAAGUACGUACGCAAGUAUGAAACUUAA
Molecule: ribosomal RNA, 519 nt
Filed under: uncultured archaeon
Lineage: Archaea
Description: bacterial SSU rRNA
Rfam family: Archaeal small subunit ribosomal RNA
Source: RNAcentral